UGGUUUGAUGUCACAAUGAAUGAU
This 24-nucleotide non-coding RNA is filed under the name Arabidopsis thaliana (thale cress). Lineage: Eukaryota; Viridiplantae; Streptophyta; Magnoliopsida; Brassicales; Brassicaceae. The record is from RNAcentral.